Molecule: long non-coding RNA, 725 nt
Organism: Lepidothrix coronata (blue-crowned manakin)
Lineage: Eukaryota; Metazoa; Chordata; Aves; Passeriformes; Pipridae
Exons: 3
Source: RefSeq, a predicted model, not a curated record
GGAGUGCCCAGCACAACUGAUCAGCAGUGGACUGUCACCCCAAACAUUCCAGUCAUCAACUGCUACCAUAGCAACAGGCUGUCACCUGAAUAUUCCCAGGAGAACAUUCCCAUAGUAACAAAAACGUGUGGGUACCUGGUACAUCCUGGGCUCCUCAGCAUGGACUGUGUAGUUGCAGGGAGGGAUAAGGUCCCCCCGAGCCUCUUUUUUCCAGGCUAAACACUCCCCAUUUGGAGAAAUUCUGUCAGUGGGCUAGAGCCCUAAAAUAUUCUUUAAGCACAAAGAUCACAGUGAGAGGAAGCAACAGCAUGGGAAUAAUUUUUCCUUUGAGUUGGAAGAUACAAUGAAUUAUACCACAAAUGAAAUAUAUUUCACAAGAGAUUCAGACAUUACAGCCUGGCUGCUCAUACAGUGGGAUCACAGUGACAUUAAGGAGAGUGUGACUGACCUAAGGCAGCAAGUUGUCCCAAUAGCUCAAACCAAAUGGUCUCAUUUCUAGACUGAAUUCCACCUGGGUUAGGUCCCACCACUGUGUGCUACCAUGUAUCUGCUGAUGGAUCAAGGAAUCAUUAGUUAUUACAGAUCUCAUCCAAUGUAAUCAAGCAGGGAUGUUAACCAGUUAACCUUAUACCUUCCAUUGCCUCAUGCUUCUUUGUGAUUCUGAGCUUAAACAUGAAAUCUGGAAUUGUUCUCUGGUAUCCUGCAGACUACAUAGAUCCCAAACU